This 254-nucleotide ribosomal RNA is filed under the name uncultured bacterium. Its description in RNAcentral is "partial 16S ribosomal RNA". It matches the Rfam family "Bacterial small subunit ribosomal RNA", at positions 524 to 776 of the family's 1533-position model. The record is from RNAcentral.
UACGGGGGGAGCAAGCGUUGUUCGGAUUUACUGGGCGUAAAGGGCGCGUAGGCGGCCAGUGCAAGUCAGUUGUGAAAUCUCCGAGCUUAACUCGGAAAGGUCAACUGAUACUGCUCGGCUAGAGUGCGGAAGGGGCAACUGGAAUUCUUGGUGUAGCGGUGAAAUGCGUAGAUAUUGGGAGGAACACCAGUGGCGAAGGCGGCUCACUGGACCGGAACUGACGCUGAGGCGCGAAAGCGUGGGGAGCAAACAGG